UACAGAGGGGGCAAGCGUUAUUCGGAAUUAUUGGGCGUAAAGGGCGCGUAGGCGGCCAUUCAAGUGACGGGUGAAAGCCCUCGGCUUAACCGAGGAACUGCCUGUCAGACUGGAUGGCUUGAGACCGGGAGAGGUGGGUGGAAUUCCCAGUGUAGCGGUGAAAUGCGUAGAUAUUGGGAGGAACACCAGUGGCGAAGGCGGCUCACUGGACCGGAACUGACGCUGAGGCGCGAAAGCGUGGGGAGCAAACAGG
This 253-nucleotide ribosomal RNA is filed under the name uncultured bacterium. RNAcentral describes it as "partial 16S ribosomal RNA". It matches the Rfam family "Bacterial small subunit ribosomal RNA", at positions 524 to 776 of the family's 1533-position model. The record is from RNAcentral.